CCUCCUUUCUAAGGAAAUCGAAAAAUAUGAAAACAAUUAUUUUCGAUUUAAAAAAAAUCGGUUAAUGUGACCGUCCUCAUUUCUCUUCUUUCAAUGUCUCUAAGUAAAUCGAGGGGCCGGUAGCUCAGGUGGUUAGAGCGCACCCCUGAUAAGGGUGAGGUCGGAAGUUCGAGUCUUCCUCGGCCCACCAAUAUUAUGGGGGAUUAGCUCAGCUGGGAGAGCGCCUGAUUUGCAUUCAGGAGGUCAGCGGUUCGAUCCCGCUAUCCUCCACCAAGAAACACUUAGUUAUUUAAUUCGUGAAUAUUUUUAAUAUUAUCAAUAUCUAUAUCCGAUUGUUCGAAUAGAUGAACGAUCAUGAAUGUUCGAAUAGAUGAACAUUCCAACAAAAUUUGAUUCAACGCAGAAUUUUUUUCUGUGCAUAAAUCAAGCGUUUAAGGGCGUGUGGCGGAUGCCUGGGCACUGAAAGCCGAUGAAGGACGUGGUAUACUGCGAUAAGUUUCGGGGAGCUGUAUGCAAGUUUGGAUCCGAAGAU
Molecule: unclassified non-coding RNA, 532 nt
Filed under: uncultured Pelagibacterales bacterium
Lineage: Bacteria; Pseudomonadati; Pseudomonadota; Alphaproteobacteria; Candidatus Pelagibacterales
Description: partial 16S-23S ribosomal RNA intergenic spacer
Rfam family: Bacterial large subunit ribosomal RNA (bases 422-532)
Source: RNAcentral